Molecule: unclassified non-coding RNA, 431 nt
Filed under: Hevea brasiliensis (rubber tree)
Lineage: Eukaryota; Viridiplantae; Streptophyta; Magnoliopsida; Malpighiales; Euphorbiaceae
Source: RNAcentral
AAUUAAUCUGGUUUUAAGGAAAUGAUGCGCGCUCUCUCUUGAUUCCUUUAUAAGCUUCACCACCGUUUCUCUCUUGUCCUCUCCCAGGCCACUCCUCACUUUCCCACCCUUACCAACCCCGUUCCGUUUAUUUCGCCCUCUCCAAACAACGGUUUUACGAUUUCUUCAGUUUCAGCUUUCGUAAAUCGAUAGCUCUAUCACGGUGGUUGAUAUGUAAACAUUUUUCCUUUUUUUCUCCUUAGAAAGGUGCUUGCCCAAGAGGAAAGAGAAGGAAAUCAGAGCGUUUCGAUUCUCAAAAAUUUGAAGCAAGAUAGAGAAUUUUUUUUUUGUUCUGUUGAAUAUUGGUGUCUGACUGGUGCUAUAUUCGUAUUCAAAGAGAAUCGAUCGUGAUGGCGUCAGCUCUGAUCUCGAAUCAUCCCGUAACCAACUCU